Molecule: ribosomal RNA, 220 nt
Filed under: Acinetobacter haemolyticus
Lineage: Bacteria; Pseudomonadati; Pseudomonadota; Gammaproteobacteria; Moraxellales; Moraxellaceae
Description: partial 16S ribosomal RNA
Rfam family: Bacterial small subunit ribosomal RNA
Source: RNAcentral
ACUCCAUGAAGUCGGAAUCGCUAGUAAUCGCGGAUCAGAAUGCCGCGGUGAAUACGUUCCCGGGCCUUGUACACACCGCCCGUCACACCAUGGGAGUUUGUUGCACCAGAAGUAGGUAGUCUAACCGUAAGGAGGACGCUUACCACGGUGUGGCCGAUGACUGGGGUGAAGUCGUAACAAGGUAGCCGUAGGGGAACCUGCGGCUGGAUCACCUCCUUAA